Neofelis nebulosa (Clouded leopard) is the source of this 1854-nucleotide long non-coding RNA. RefSeq lists it as uncharacterized. The transcript is spliced from 3 exons. Lineage: Eukaryota; Metazoa; Chordata; Mammalia; Carnivora; Felidae. The record is from RefSeq and is a predicted model, not a curated record.
UCAGCUGGGUGGCAGUGCCUCAGGCAGAGAGGGGAGCCAAGAACUUAUCCACCACAAAAGAACAUGAACCCAAGCUGAAUCUGAACAUCUGUUUCCUAUGUAACGCCCUUCAGAAAGCAUGGCAUUGUUUGCUUUCAAAAUCAGUUCCCAGCAAUCCAGGAAAACAAAAAGCCAUCAGUGUCUGAGAAACUUUGGUUGGCAUUGUCUCCAUCUCUUCGUUUCCUCCUGCUUUGAAUGAAGACGAGAAGCCUAUAACUGCUUUGGAUCUGCAGCCACCAUCUUUGGAUGAUGAAGGAAAGUCCUAGAAAAUCACAGAGAUUCUGGCUCUGAUGGGAAUUCUGCAAGUUCUGCUUGUGUCAUAUUUGCUGAUGUCCCGAAGGCUAAAGCCGCGCUCAGAGUCAGUAUGGCAGUGGACUACACAAAGGUGUGGAUACGAGAACACAUGAUUCAUUGGAGCCAUUAAUAUAACAAUCUGCCAUUUCCUUCCUCAAGACACUUUAUUUUCAUCUGUUGAAAACUGGUUGUAGUAUAUUCAUUUUAUUAAUAUAAGACACUUGGCUGUCAUCUCCAAAAAAUUAUCACAAAAAUUCAAAUCUACACACAAGUAGAGAGACCAGCGCACGGGCCCAUCACCCAGUUCCAAUAGUUACCAACAUUCUUCUGUUCUUCUUUCAAAUGAUGCCAACAAUUGAGUUAAUUUAAAAAUACCCUUGGGUGUGACAUUGCAAAACCAGUCAUGCUUUUUAAAAGAAUGACAGUAACAGCUACCAUCUGGUCAUUAGUGAACACCUAAAGACAGGAAUCACUGUGUGAUCAUUAGUUUCCUCUCCAUGUUGUUAUCGGGGAGCAGGGAGGAAGAGGACCCAGACUGCCUUGGUGGGGGCUGCCAACUUGGGGGUGGAGGGGAAUCAAAAACCCUUUCCCUUUGCUGCUCAAAUUCAUCAGAAGCUGGUUGAAAGCUUGAAAAGAAGAAGAAGAAUUCGACCAGAAGUUUCUUUGAAGGGAAGCAGAUAAAGGUUGUGACUGGAGCCCUAAAUUCACAGUGACCUGUAUCUAGACUUUACGUGAUAUCCUUCAGAAACUGUCCAACUAUAUUGUUUUGUGAGUGUGUGUUAGGGAUUAAUUUGUUUAAUGUAAACGUCUAGAAUAUUUCACUCUUGUGACUUUAUUGGCAUUUAUCAAUUUCUUUAAAAGGUAUUCUGGGGGGCGCCUGGGUGGCUCAGUCGGUUGAGCUUCCGACUUCGGCUCAGGUCAUGAUCUCAUGGUCUGUGAGUUUGAGCCCUGCAUCAGGCUCUGUGCUGACAGCUCAGAGCCUGGAGCCUGCUUCAGAUUCUGUGUCUCCCUCUCUCUCUGACCCUCCCCUGUUCCUGCUCUGUCUCUCUCUGCCUCAAAAAUAAAUAAACAUUAAAAAAAAUUAAAAAAAAAUAAAAGGUAUUCUGGGAACCUCAGCAAAUGGAAGUUCCCUGGGAUGCUCUUGACCCCUGAAAGACUGGUGGAGAUUGCGAUUCAGAAAAAGUUGAGGUCUUCAGUGUUGUCCCCACUUUUCAUCAUGAGGGGCUACUGUCUGAUGCUGGUGGAAAGAGUGCCAAGGUUACAAUUGGGUCCAAGAGUGGCAAAAAAGGAAAAAAGACAAAGAGGUCACUGGUGACAGGGGAACAUUUGGCUGGAGAGGCAGCAAGAAGGAAAAAACAGGAGAGAGAUGUGGCGGACAGACUGAGACUGGAAGUGUGAGAAAGGGGAGUGCACCACGCUCUUGGGGUCCAUGAAAGGAAAUCUGAACUUAGCUUUUAUUUAAUCCAAAUGUCUUCAACUUUCCUAGGAGAAACCAAGGCCCAAAAGGUGGAAUCCUAGUAA